CCUACGGGUGGCAGCAGUGGGGCAUCUUGCACAAUGGGGGAAACCCUGAUGCAGCGACGCCGCGUGAGUUCCUCCUUCUCUCGGUACGUCCCUCUCUCUCCUCCUUCCCUCCCCUUCCUCUCCCUGCCUCCGCCGCCCCGGCUCCCUCCGUGCCCGCCGCCGCGGUCCUCCGUCGGGGGCACGCGUUCUCCUUAUUGACUGGUGGUAACGGGAGCGUAGCCGGCGCUGCACUUCCGGAGUGAAAGCCCAUUGCUUAACCAUGGUACUGCUCUGGAAACUGUAGAGCUUGAGUGCGGGAGGGGCAGGCGGAAUUCCUAGUGUAGCGGUGAAAUGCGUAGAUAUUAGGAGGAACACCGGCGGCGAAGGCGGCCUGCUGGACCGUAACUGACGUGGAGGCGCGAAAGCGUGGGGAGCAAACAGGAUGAGAGACCCGAGUAGUC
This 440-nucleotide ribosomal RNA is filed under the name uncultured bacterium. RNAcentral's name for it is "partial 16S ribosomal RNA". It matches the Rfam family "Bacterial small subunit ribosomal RNA", at positions 338 to 795 of the family's 1533-position model. The record is from RNAcentral.